Molecule: long non-coding RNA, 203 nt
Filed under: Lathyrus oleraceus (garden pea)
Lineage: Eukaryota; Viridiplantae; Streptophyta; Magnoliopsida; Fabales; Fabaceae
Description: Pisum sativum (pea) long non-coding RNA (PSAT_LNC020974)
Source: RNAcentral
AGAAAGUGCGCCCUCGGGAGUAUCAAGUCGGUGAAUUGGUACUCAAAAGAAUUCUUCCUCCUAACACAGAUCACAGGGGCAAAUGGACACCGAGCUAUGAGGGUCCAUACGUGGUUAAAAGGGUUUUCUCUGGCAGAGCUCUGAUGCUAACAACCAUGGAUGGCUAAGACUUCCUGUCCCCUGUCAACCCAGACGCAGUUAAA